UCAGACCAAACGCCGAGUCCUGCCCCUGGUCUGAACACCCUCCGACAAGCCGGGGCAGGAGCGGGGGACCCAGGUCUCACCGGGCAACGCCGGGACACCGGCCGCGUCCUCGGGGUGAAGCUGCCGCAAGGCGGCCGGGUGGCGUGAACCCUGCCCGAACCCGACAGCUGACCUCGCAGGCGUCAGGGAAGGACGC
This 196-nucleotide small RNA is filed under the name Pseudofrankia asymbiotica. RNAcentral's name for it is "Frankia asymbiotica c-di-AMP sequence". It matches the Rfam family "c-di-AMP riboswitch aptamer (ydaO/yuaA leader)". From Rfam's summary of the family: This family represents a conserved RNA structure found upstream of the ydaO and yuaA genes in Bacillus subtilis and related genes in other bacteria. The record is from Rfam by way of RNAcentral. Lineage: Bacteria; Bacillati; Actinomycetota; Actinomycetes; Frankiales; Frankiaceae.